GACGAACGCUGGCGGCGUGCUUAACACAUGCAAGCGAACGGUGAUGGCAAGCUUGCUUGUCUGAUCAGUGGCGAACGGGUGAGUAACACGUGAGCAACCUGCCCUCCUCUCUGGGAUAAGCCUUGGAAACGGGGUCUAAUACCGGAUAUUCACUGCUGCCUGCAUGGGUGGUGGUGGAAAGCUUUUGCGGUGGGGGAUGGGCUCGCGGCCUAUCAGCUUGUUGGUGGGGUGAUGGCCUACCAAGGCGAUGACGGGUAGCCGGCCUGAGAGGGCGACCGGCCACACUGGGACUGAGACACGGCCCAGACUCCUACGGGAGGCAGCAGUGGGGAAUAUUGCACAAUGGGCGAAAGCCUGAUGCAGCGACGCCGCGUGCGGGAUGACGGCCUUCGGGUUGUAAACCGCUUUCGGCAGGGAAGAAGCCGUAAGGUGACGGUACCUGCAGAAGAAGCGCCGGCUAACUACGUGCCAGCAGCCGCGGUAAUACGUAGGGCGCAAGCGUUGUCCGGAAUUAUUGGGCGUAAAGAGCUCGUAGGCGGUUCGUCGCGUCUGCUGUGAAAUCCUCAGGCUCAACCUGGGGCGUGCAGUGGGUACGGGCGGACUGGAGUGCGGUAGGGGUGACUGGAAUUCCUGGUGUAGCGGUGGAAUGCGCAGAUAUCAGGAGGAACACCGAUGGCGAAGGCAGGUCACUGGGCCGCAACUGACGCUGAGGAGCGAAAGCAUGGGGAGCGAACAGGAUUAGAUACCCUGGUAGUCCAUGCCGUAAACGUUGGGCACUAGGUGUGGGGUCCAUUCCACGGAUUCCGUGCCGCAGCAAACGCAUUAAGUGCCCCGCCUGGGGAGUACGGCCGCAAGGCUAAAACUCAAAGAAAUUGACGGGGGCCCGCACAAGCGGCGGAGCAUGCGGAUUAAUUCGAUGCAACGCGAAGAACCUUACC
RNAcentral lists this ribosomal RNA (938 nucleotides) under uncultured bacterium. RNAcentral describes it as "bacterial SSU rRNA". It matches the Rfam family "Bacterial small subunit ribosomal RNA", at positions 28 to 975 of the family's 1533-position model. The record is from RNAcentral.